UACAGAGGUCUCAAGCGUUGCUCGGAUUCAUUGGGCGUAAAGGGUGCGUAGGCGGCGCGGUAAGUCGGGUGUGAAAUCUCGGGGCUUAACUCCGAAACUGCAUUCGAUACUGCCGUGCUUGAGGACUGGAGAGGAGACUGGAAUUUACGGUGUAGCAGUGAAAUGCGUAGAUAUCGAGAGGAACACCUGCGGCGAAGGCGGGUUGCUGGGCCGACACUGACGCUGAUGCGCGAAAGCCAGGGGAGCGAACGGG
Molecule: ribosomal RNA, 253 nt
Filed under: uncultured bacterium
Lineage: Bacteria
Description: partial 16S ribosomal RNA
Rfam family: Bacterial small subunit ribosomal RNA
Source: RNAcentral